AAAAGCUCGUAGUUGGAUUCAGAGGUGGGGUUGUGGGUCGGGUGUGGCCCGGCAGCUUGUCUCCGUGUGCCGCUCCCAAUCAACCCGCGUUUGCCCCAGCCUCCUAUCGCACGGAAACGGAGUCCUGCUGGGGUCUCCUUAACUGGGGGUUCCAGCGCUUCCGCGCACAACGUGCGCUUACGGACCGUCCGUGGACGUUACUGUGAACAGAACAGCAUGUUCAAAGCAAGUGGCUUGCCUGCCCUGCAUGUUAAAGCAUGGAAUAACAAGGCAUCGACCACUCGGCGGUGCUUUUGUUGGUCUUUCCUUCCCGGUGGAAAUGCGCAGSCGUGCACACUGCCGGCCUUCUGGCCGGUCUGGUUGCCGUCUCUUCGAGAUCAAUAGGGGCAAACGGGAGAUACCUAUUGUGGGGAGAGCGGUGAAAUGCGAUGACCCCCAUAAGAGGAACUUC
This 451-nucleotide ribosomal RNA is filed under the name uncultured marine eukaryote. RNAcentral describes it as "bacterial SSU rRNA". It matches the Rfam family "Eukaryotic small subunit ribosomal RNA", at positions 624 to 954 of the family's 1831-position model. The record is from RNAcentral.